AGAGUUUGAUCCUGGCUCAGAUUGAACGCUGGCGGCAGGCCUAACACAUGCAAGUCGAACGGUAGCACAGAGAGCUUGCUCUCGGGUGACGAGUGGCGGACGGGUGAGUAAUGCCUGGGAAAUUGCCCAGUCGAGGGGGAUAACAGUUGGAAACGACUGCUAAUACCGCAUACGCCCUACGGGGGAAAGCAGGGGACCUUCUGGCCUUGCGCGAUUGGAUAUGCCCAGGUGGGAUUAGCUAGUAGGUGGGGUAACGGCUCACCUAGGCGACGAUCCCUAGCUGGUCUGAGAGGAUGACCAGCCACACUGGAACUGAGACACGGUCCAGACUCCUACGGGAGGCAGCAGUGGGGAAUAUUGCACAAUGGGCGCAAGCCUGAUGCAGCCAUGCCGCGUGUAUGAAGAAGGCCUUAGGGUUGUAAAGCACUUUCAGCGAGGAGGAAAGGUUGAUGCCUAAUACGUAUCAACUGUGACGUUACUCGCAGAAGAAGCACCGGCUAACUCCGUGCCAGCAGCCGCGGUAAUAC
Molecule: ribosomal RNA, 527 nt
Filed under: uncultured bacterium
Lineage: Bacteria
Description: bacterial SSU rRNA
Rfam family: Bacterial small subunit ribosomal RNA
Source: RNAcentral